AACGACACGGUCCGCCGUGGCUUGCCUUCCGUCCGCCGUGUUCCCAGCGGUCGCCGGGGGGGGGCGGUGGUGGGAGCGCGGUGGCCUUUCUGCAGCACUUUGAGAGUAGGUGUAACACGGCGCACGGGUCUCAGCGGGCAGGCCGGGUAUCAUGAGCCAUAACGCCGUCAGUGUGACAAGCGGAGCAGCGAUGGUGACACAGAUGAAGACGUAGGACAGCGAAGGCACAUCUUCAUCAUCAGCUGGGCCGCGUGGCUCGUCUACAAGAAGAAGAAGAAGCACGUAGAUCCAGUCUUUACCCAAUGAAAUUGUUGGACAGGACACCGGACCGUCACGGGUCGCUGGGGGACAGUUUUCACCGUUGUGCCUCUUGGGACCAGCACCUCAACAUCACAAGGAAACACGUCUAAAACAAAAAAGAAAUCACAUUUCCCCCAAAAGUCAGUUUAUUUUAUCUUCAAUCAUUAACAUCAACACCUUUGACGUUUGUAAUCACAGUUUUCAUGUUUCCUGCGAU
Molecule: long non-coding RNA, 517 nt
Organism: Gasterosteus aculeatus aculeatus (three-spined stickleback)
Lineage: Eukaryota; Metazoa; Chordata; Actinopteri; Perciformes; Gasterosteidae
Source: Ensembl